UACAGAGGGUGCGAGCGUUAAUCGGAAUUACUGGGCGUAAAGCGUGCGUAGACGGUUAUUUAAGUCGGAUGUGAAAGCCCUGGGCUCAACCUGGGAAUUGCAUUCGAGACUGAAUAGCUAGGGUACGGUAGAGGGAAGUGGAAUUUCCGGUGUAGCGGUGAAAUGCGUAGAUAUCGGAAGGAACAUCAGUGGCGAAAGCGACUUCCUGGACCAGUACCGACGUUCAGGCACGAAAGCGUGGGGAGCAAACGGG
Molecule: ribosomal RNA, 253 nt
Filed under: uncultured bacterium
Lineage: Bacteria
Description: partial 16S ribosomal RNA
Rfam family: Bacterial small subunit ribosomal RNA
Source: RNAcentral